UUCUAGUCUUGGCUUUUUUCUAGUUUGCUACAUGAAAAAUGGGCAAAUCACUUCAUCUUUCCACUUUAACUUAGACCUCAGUUUCCCCAUCUGCAUCAUAAAGAGAAUUCCUCUUUUGAGAAGUUGAAUGGGGAUGGGAUGAGGAUACAUAAGAUCCUAUUUCUGCAAAGAUUUUGGAGAUGAGCUAUUAACUACAUAUGAGUAUACACAGCAUGCACCUGCUCUGCCUCUCACAUCCCUGUGUUCCAUUAUCCACUGAAGAUGUCAAGACUGACAGGCGAGAGCCAGACCUCAGGCCAGCUCCCCCUGACAGGACUCUCCUGAUGGCAGCAUCUGGACUGAGAGGAUGUUGGUGGAGAAGCUGCAUCAGCUUACAGAACAACAAACAAUUAGCACAGAAUGGAACACCAUCCUUGGUAGUUGCUCAACAUAGUCAAACUGGUAGCUGCGCAAUGGGUCAUGAAGAGUAACCAAUCCUGUUCCUCUGCCCAGUUGUUAGAGAAGCAAGAUGGGGAAGACCUGUUCUUGAACCAAUCAAGUAUCUCCCUUCUUUGUUCAUAAGCUAACUGCUCCCAGGGAUUCAAUUCUUCUCCAUUUGAGGCUUUAUUUGGGAGACAUUGUUUUAAUACAGUCACUCACGCACUUUUAUCCUUGGCAAGACUUUUUUUUCCUCUAAUAGAGGAGCAGAAGGAAGGGGGU
This 699-nucleotide long non-coding RNA is filed under the name Monodelphis domestica (gray short-tailed opossum). RNAcentral describes it as "lncRNA (ENSMODG00000031118.2)". Lineage: Eukaryota; Metazoa; Chordata; Mammalia; Didelphimorphia; Didelphidae. The record is from RNAcentral.